Oncorhynchus tshawytscha (Chinook salmon) is the source of this 429-nucleotide long non-coding RNA. The record is from Ensembl. Lineage: Eukaryota; Metazoa; Chordata; Actinopteri; Salmoniformes; Salmonidae.
AAAUUUAUUCCUUUCAGAAAAUAACUUACAUUCCAGAACACACACAUUGUGACAGCAUAUUUCCAGUGUUCCUUUUCUUGUAAUUUUUCUUAAGUUGCAUUUACACAGGAAGCCCAAUUCUGAUCUUUUGGCCCCAAUAUUGGCAAAAGAUCUGAUCUGAUUGGGCAAGAGAUCAGAAUUGGGCAACCGGUGUGAACGUAGCCUUACACACAGUAAAGAGGUUAGACAUUGCAUUAUCAGAAGGAUUUCUGGCGGAUAUAUUUACACGUACAGUACAUUCAGAUCAACAUCAUAAAAAGGUCCAUCCUAUCAGAUCAAUGAUAAAAAGGUCCAUCCUAUCAGAUCAGCGUGAUAAAAAGGUCCAUCCUAUCAGAUCAGUGAUAAAAAGGUCCAUCCUAUCAGAUCAGUGAUAAAAAGGUCCAUCCUAUC